Molecule: ribosomal RNA, 310 nt
Filed under: uncultured bacterium
Lineage: Bacteria
Description: partial 16S ribosomal RNA
Rfam family: Bacterial small subunit ribosomal RNA
Source: RNAcentral
AAGAGACAGCAGUCGCCGCGGUAACACGGAGGGAGCUAGCGUUAUUCGGAAUUACUGGGCGUAAAGCGCACGUAGGCGGCUUUGUAAGUUAGAGGUGAAAGCCUGGAGCUCAACUCCAGAAUUGCCUUUAAGACUGCAUCGCUUGAAUCCAGGAGAGGUGAGUGGAAUUCCGAGUGUAGAGGUGAAAUUCGUAGAUAUUCGGAAGAACACCAGUGGCGAAGGCGGCUCACUGGACUGGUAUUGACGCUGAGGUGCGAAAGCGUGGGGAGCAAACAGGAUUAGAUACCCCUGUAGUCCCUGUCUCUUAUAC